Molecule: ribosomal RNA, 218 nt
Filed under: uncultured bacterium
Lineage: Bacteria
Description: partial 16S ribosomal RNA
Rfam family: Bacterial small subunit ribosomal RNA
Source: RNAcentral
ACGCUCGACACCUACGGGAGGUAGCAGUGAGGAAUAUUGGUCAAUGGGCGCUAGCCUGAACCAGCCAAGUAGCGUGAAGGAUGAAGGCUCUAUGGGUCGUAAACUUCUUUUAUAUAAGAAUAAAGUGCAGUAUGUAUACUGUUUUGUAUGUAUUAUAUGAAUAAGGAUCGGCUAACUCCGUGGCAGCAGCCGCGGUAAUCUGAGCGGGCUGGCAAGGC